ACUCCUACGGGAGGCAGCAGUGGGAAUAUUGCACAAUGGGGAAGCCAUCGAUGCAGCCAUGCCGCGCUGUGUGAAGAAGGCCAAUUCGGGCUUGGUUAAAGACACUUUUCAGUAGGGAGGAAGGUAGUGUAGUUAACACCUGCACUAUUUGACGUUACCUACAGAAGAAGCACCGGCUAACUCCGUGCCAGCAGCCGCGGUAAUACGGAGGGUGCGAGCGUUAUCCGGAUUUAUUGGGUUUAAAGGGUCCGUAGGCGGGUUAAUAAGUCAGUGGUGAAAUCCCAUCGCUUAACGAUGGAACUGCCAUUGAUACUGUUAGUCUUGAAUGAGGGUGCAGUGGUUGGAAUGUGUAGUGUAGCGGUGAAAUGCAUAGAUAUUACACAGAACACCGAUUGCGAAGGCAGAUCACUAACCCUAAAUUGACGCUGAGGGACGAAAGCGUGGGGAGCGAACAGGAUUAGAUACCCUGUAGCGACUG
This 478-nucleotide ribosomal RNA is filed under the name uncultured bacterium. RNAcentral's name for it is "bacterial SSU rRNA". It matches the Rfam family "Bacterial small subunit ribosomal RNA", at positions 335 to 797 of the family's 1533-position model. The record is from RNAcentral.